Long non-coding RNA from Stegodyphus dumicola, 159 nucleotides. The record is from RefSeq and is a predicted model, not a curated record. NCBI's taxonomy places the organism in Eukaryota, Metazoa, Arthropoda, Arachnida, Araneae, Eresidae.
AGCCAUGAAGUUUCUCGCAGUGCUUCUACUCGCAGGCUUUGCCCUCGCCUCUGCUAUUCCUGUGCCUUCGCGACAAAAUGCCGUAGAUGAGGUUCGUGAACUUCACGAAACUUUACUUGAACUGGCCGCUUUGGAAGCUGAAGGUGAUGAUGUUGAUUC